AGACUCGCCGCCAUCCCCUCCGCCGCCGCGGCCGCCGCAGCCUCGGACCCCGGGGCAGCCGCGGCCGCCGCCUCAGCCUGAGAGGAUCCGCCGCCGGGACUGCCCGCUGCGGCCCCGCAAGUCCGGGUAAAGUACUCAGAUACUGAAUAAAUCCUAAAAGACUGCAAUAAAGUGGCAAUGUCUCGGGAACCCACCCCACCUCUACCUGGAGACAUGUCUGCUGGUCCUAUAGCAGAAAGCUGGUGUUAUACACAGGUUAAAGUGGUAAAGUUUUCCUACAUGUGGACCAUUAAUAACUUCAGUUUUUGUCGAGAGGAAAUGGGUGAAGUGUUAAAAAGUUCAACAUUUUCAUCUGGCCCAAAUGACAAAAUGAAAUGGUGCCUGAGGGUAAAUCCAAAGGGAUUAGAUGAUGAAAGUAAAGACUACUUGUCCUUAUAUUUGCUUUUAGUCAGCUGCCCAAAAAGUGAAGUUCGAGCAAAAUUCAAAUUUUCCCUUCUGAAUGCUAAAAGGGAAGAAACAAAAGCAAUGGAAAGCCAAAGAGCGUAUCGAUUUGUGCAAGGGAAGGACUGGGGUUUUAAAAAAUUCAUUAGAAGGGAUUUUUUGCUUGAUGAAGCUAAUGGUCUUUUACCAGAUGACAAGCUUACAUUAUUUUGUGAGGUGAGUGUGGUCCAAGAUUCAGUAAAUAUAUCAGGACAUACUAAUACAAAUACUUUGAAAGUUCCUGAAUGUCGACUAGCAGAAGAUUUAGGUAAUCUCUGGGAAAACACAAGAUUUACAGAUUGCAGUUUUUUUGUAAGAGGACAAGAAUUUAAAGCUCAUAAAUCUGUGCUUGCAGCUCGUUCCCCAGUUUUUAAUGCAAUGUUUGAACACGAAAUGGAAGAAAGCAAAAAGAAUCGAGUGGAAAUAAAUGAUGUAGACCCUGAGGUUUUUAAAGAAAUGAUGAGAUUCGUUUACACAGGGAAAGCACCAAACCUUGACAAAAUGGCUGACAACUUGUUGGCAGCUGCAGACAAAUAUGCACUGGAACGGCUGAAGGUCAUGUGUGAGGAAGCUCUGUGUAGUAACCUUACAGUAGAAAAUGUUGCUGAUACCCUUGUCCUUGCAGAUUUGCACAGUGCAGAACAGUUGAAAGCACAAGCCAUAGACUUUAUUAAUAGGUGCAGUGUACUUCGACAGCUUGGGUGUAAAGAUGGGAAAAACUGGAACAGCAACCAAGCAACAGACAUAAUGGAAACAGCGGGGUGGAAAUCCAUGAUUCAGUCUCACCCUCAUCUAGUAGCAGAAGCCUUCCGAGCACUAGCAUCUGCACAGUGUCCACAGUUUGGCAUUCCACGCAAGCGACUAAAACAGUCCUGAAAUCUUCCAUGAACUGUAGAAAAAUGGCAAUGACUUUUACUCCUCCAGGUCCAGAAGGAUUCUCAUACACGAACCAUAAGCAAGAGUUGUUUCUGUUUUCCUGUCCACAGAACAGAAACUGAAAAAGCAUAUUGCUGGCUUUUCAGGUGGAUAAUUUAUGGUUUAUUCUUCAGCUUUAAAUUAGACUGAUAAUACUCUAAUUCACUUCAAGGCCUUAAAUUAUCUUCAAUGACUUCUCUUGUUCAUAUAAUACUUUAAUUUUUUUAUUGUGCCUUGUCAUUUUGACCAAGGCUAUGCAGGAUUGCACUAGCUCCAUAAUGCAGUAAUAUUGAUAACUGAAGAUAUUAAGUUUCAAAAGGAUCUUCCAUUAUUUUGAGAAAAACAAAAUGAAUUUUUAUAGGGUUUGUCCUAUGCUAUCUUUUCAAAGGUUAAAACUAGGUUCUCCUUAAAAGCACUUGUAUUGGAGAUUACCAAGAAUGUCUCCAGUCUAAGUUCUAUGAAUACAGGAGAACCUGCUUACCUUCAAGAUAUUCAUUGAACAAUUCUAGUAUAUCAAAAGAGUGAUUCAUAUUUACAUUGAAAAAACACUGUCAGGUAAGCAUUUGUUAUCCACAAACUGGAGUUUGAAAAGAUCAUAUUUUCAGAUAUCUUAGUUUCUUUCUAUGUAGUUCAGUUGAAUUUUUGUUGUGUUAACUUAAAUUUGAGAUUGGAAGAAUCUCUUGGGCUAGAGUAAAGGUUUUUACCUGUUAAUAGACUCCCUCAUAUGUAAGAUAUAGGGUUCGGAAGCUCACUUUCUUAACUCCGCUGUAAGAUUGAGCCCGUUAAGUUUACAAUGUGAGAUUUAAAACAUACACAUACACUUUUAAUUUAAGAACUUGCUAGGGUCUUACAAGAAAAAAAUUCCUUCCUCAGGCUAUAGAAUUUUGUUGUCGUAUAUUAUAAAAAUCCUGGUGUCUCCGUUUAUAUCAAACGCACACAGGCACAUUGUGAAUGAAUUCACUGCUAAAAUCUACAUCUCUAACAUAGUGACUUCACAAAUAAUAUGGUAUUACAAACAUUUCAGCUUGUCCUUCCUUUAAUGUUUAUUGUAAAUCUUAAGGAUUUUAUUAUAAAGAUUUUUUUUUAAGUUUGGUAGCACAUUUUUUACCAAAAAUGUCAAACACUGUGCUAUAAAUGCAAGAAUAUCCACAUUUGUAGAAGUGUCCACUUUUCAAAUAAUAUAUUGCCUACCAUUUUACUAACAGAAUCAUAUAUGAGUUGAUUUAUUUUUUUAUUUAUUAUGUAUAUUUUUGGUAUUGGGGGUUCUUGAGGCAAUGAUAAAAAACUGUUUAUGUAUUCUGAAAUGAGUGCUCUAAUAGCUUUUUUUUUUUUUUCAAUUUUAGACCACACACAUUGUUUUCAAUAGGAACAGAUUCUGUCCAGAACAGUCUUGCCUUUUGAACUAUCUGCCUGCUCCUGGUUCCCUUUUCUCACCUAAACAGGGCUUCUCCUUAGAAAUGUAGUGAGCGGUUUUAAAUGUUACAUAUUAUAAAAAUAACCAUUGGAGAACCGUUCUUCAGUGUAAGAUUUAGAAACACUAUAUUUGUGCCUUUUUUUCUUUUUCAAUUUUAACAUGCAUUGGUAUUUGGAGCACAAAUAUGAAGGUGCCAUAAAUUAUGGCUUGCCAAUGUUACCUCCUUGAAUACUCAUGUGUCAUUGUCUUGGAAUAGUAAUUGGAGAACCUUGCAUGUAUUACAUGGUCAUUUGUGUGUAUGUGUGUGUGUGUGUAUGUGUGUGUAUAUUUGCUUGUAUAUUAUAUUUGGUUGUGUGUGUUGUGUUCAAAAGAAUGCAUUUCUGAAAAUAGGACUCAGUUAAAUGUUGAAAGUUCAGGUUAGUUGAAAUAUUUCAUUUAAAUGUGCUUUAUUUUGGGGAAGAUUGAUAAAGGAAAUUAUAAUUCUCAAAAAUGUGACCAAUUUACUGGAUGAUGAAAUGUGAAAACAGUGCCUUUUUAGGAACAUCAGUUGUAAAAUUAAGUUUAAAAAUAUUAACGAUCUCUUAAAAAGUUGUCAUGAACAUUAUUGGCUUACUUUUAAACUAGACCUAAGUUAGCGGUUAAAUUGUAGAAAGUAUGAUUACUAAUUUACGUGCCCCUUUGAUUUUUGUGCAAAUUUAAAAUCUAAGAAUUCUUUAUAAAAUCAUAGAUGCCACCCAGUGUUUCUAACUAGAACAGGAAUUUUGUUCAAUAAGUAAAGUUUUAUGAAAAUCCAACUCAACAAGCUUUUCUCAUAGCCAGGUAUACCUGAAGAGGUGAAUUACUCUAACUUGGACAUUCGUGUUCUUCUUUUGAUGGAUAAAAUAAAAAUAUUCACUAUUCUUUCAAAAUAAAGUGGAUGGGUGGGUUUGUUUUAGCAUCCUCAGAUUGUAAUGACAGCACUUUCAGCACACAUACAAAUAUUUCCGAAGCCGUUUUUGUACAGAUUACGAGCUCUACUUUAUUUAAGUUUUCAUGGAAUGAUGUAAAUUUUAGGUCCAGUUGAACAAAUAUUGAGUGCCUACCAUAUGCAAGACUUCCUCUUCACUAGGAAUGAAAUCACCACACCGUGUCUUCUGUUUGCAGUACAUAGACUUUGUGUUUGAAAAGGAAUUCCUGUAUUUAAAUCUUUUUCUGUUAGAGUUUAUCAUUGUAUACUGUAACCCAGUUAAUUUUGGAUUCAGGUUUUUAGAAUGAAAAUAUAACUUAAGUGAGUCUCAUUUUCGAAAAUAAAAUUCUGCUAAAAUUACUUAAAAUUAGUUCUGAGGGGAAUUGAUUUUCAAGAUCAAAUGUGUAAAGACUUAUAAUGAACUUUUCAGCCUCAUUUUUAAUCAGUUGAUGUUAAUGGUGAGAUACAUACUUUUUGUAUCUUGUUGCUGAAAAUAUUUUUUGCAUUUUGGCGCGUCGAGUUAAAAUAAACUUGUUACUACUUAUUCAGAA
Molecule: RNA transcript, 4306 nt
Organism: Trichechus manatus latirostris (Florida manatee)
Lineage: Eukaryota; Metazoa; Chordata; Mammalia; Sirenia; Trichechidae
Gene: SPOPL
Gene name: speckle type BTB/POZ protein like
Exons: 12
Source: RefSeq, a predicted model, not a curated record